RNAcentral lists this transfer RNA (71 nucleotides) under Patescibacteria group bacterium. Its description in RNAcentral is "tRNA-Gln". It matches the Rfam family "tRNA". From Rfam's summary of the family: Transfer RNA (tRNA) molecules are approximately 80 nucleotides in length. RNAcentral also lists the same sequence under 1 other name. The record is from RNAcentral.
UGCCUCGUCGGCUAAUGGUAGGCCAUUCGGCUCUGAACCGAAUAAUUGUGGUUCGAAUCCAUGCGAGGCAA